UGUUGGGGUCUUUGGAAAGGGUAAGAGCCUCGUUUUCCCAGACCAGCUCAUCCCAGCAGAAUCCUUUAUUGGCACCAAUCUUCAUUUUUUUUUUUCUUGCUUUUUAGGGCCGCCCCCACAGCAUAUGGAUGUUCCCAGACUAGGGGUGGAAUCGGAACUACAGCUGUCAGCCUACACCACAGCCACAGCAGCGCAGGAUCCAAGCCACGUCUGUGACCUAUACCAUAGCUCACAGCAAUGCUGGAUCCUUAACCCACUAAGUGAGGCCAGGGAGCGAACCCACAACCUCAUGGUUCCUAGUCGGAUUCGUUAACUGUGGAGCCAUGAAAGGAACUCCUCAUUUGUUUCUUUGUGUUCCUUGUUUACUUGUUACUUCCUGACACACAGGCUGACAUGGAGUGGGUCUUCUGAGAUGCACAGACACAACAUGAUACUGGCACGCUCCUGGCCAUCAUUAAUUUCUUCCUGUAACCGUCAGCUACCUUGACUCAGUUUUGGUUCCUUUAGAGGCAGAGGGCAAGAUGAGAGUUUGGGCGCAUGUGGCUUAUUUGGGCCCAGUUAACACCUGAGAGCUGGAAGUGGGGAAGAGAGACGGGGAGGUGGGCAAGGUGGCCAGUGCCCGGCCAGUUACCCCUGCGGGCAGCGGGGUUAAUGACCUGGAAUGGAGUGUAGAGGACACCUUGGCGUCUUCCUGCCUGGGCAUGGAAGACACACCAGCUCCCAUUGGUCACCAGGUGAGGGCUGCUUCCGGGGCGCACAGCGGGGGGCGGCAAUGCCCUGGUCCAUCCUGGCCUGUCCCUUGCACAGCAGAGCAGUGCCUGUGAGUAGAGGCAGCACCUAGGUGAAGGAGGGCAGGUGCUGGCCAUUGGAAGAUGGGCCUGUGAGCACCCAAGACUCAAGGAGAGGGAGGGUGAGCAGGGCCACAGCAGCCAUUGCAAAACACCCACUCCCCCCUUUCCAGGGACGUGCUUGCAUGUUCCUAACCCAGGAAAAGCUCUCGGUUCUCGGUGUGUGCAUGGGUUUGUCUAGCUAGGCGGAUCCCCCCGUUCAUUGUCGCUGUAUCCCAGUGUGUGUUUGGACAAGCGCCGACGGCUUGCCAGGCUCUCCUGCCACAAGCAGCAGCUUCGGUGGACCCGGCAGAGGAGCCCUUCAGGCCAGGCCGAGAGCAGAGGGUGCUUGUGAAAACCGGCAGACACCCCUCCCCUCCUCAUUCACCUGACCACCUUUGGGCCUGUGUUGGCCUUUGGGGACCCCAGGGGAGCUCAGCGCAUGUCAACAUUGAGAAGAGGGGAAACCCAGAAAAUCCUGCCCUACAUCCAACGACAAAGAAAACAGAGCCUUUGUGCACCAGGCAGGUCUGUUCCUUUUGCAAGCAGCUGAAAAGUGAAAGUUUCUUUCUAGAAGAGUUGCUGGGGCCUGAGGUCUGAUACUCAUGUUGAGUCAGAGGCAAGACUGAAUGGGAACGCUGAACAGAAACUGGGAAACGUGCUGGUACUGCAGACAUGCGGACUCUCCUUUACUGUCCGGCAUCCGUGUUAUUUUAAGGGCAGUCCCUGACUUUUCCAGCUCCAGGGUCAAAAGCCAGUGUAUCCAUCCCUCAGUGACCAUUUCCCACCCCCCUCACUGGGCUCUCUCUGGUGUGAGAUGGAAUCCGUAUUUUGCACCCAAUUAUCUUUCAAAGUGACUGGAUAUGUUUAAAGCAGGGAACCUUGUAGCCCUGGUAGUUAGGUCCUGCAUGCUUUCAUGUUUCUAGAGCCCUCCCAAAGGUGGGACUUCUAAAGGCAUCCAAAAAAAUAUAUCCAGCUGGGUGAUGUUCUUUUGCCCAGAGCCUGGCACGAUGGGAGGUAAUUCCCACCUGGAAUUUGAGGCAUCUGGGCCCCUUGAAAGCUAAAAAAAUACUGUAGCCCCCAAGGAAGGAUUAUACCUUAUGGUGUUUUGAGACAUGCCCACGAGUGCUCUGAUCAUUUCUCUUGACAUGAAAGGGACUCUCAUUCUCCUCCUCUUGGAUUUGGCUGACUUUCAUGAUCCACUUCUAGUGGAUGGACUGUAGCAGAAGUUGUGUGCUUUCCAAAGCUGAGUCAUCAGAGGCAAUACGGUUUCCACCAGCUUCUAUGGUUGCUCUUGGAACCCGGCUGCCAGGGUGGGAGGAAGCUCAAGCGUCAUGGAGGCUGCGUGCAGGUGCUUCGCUGAUGGCCCAGCCAACGUCCUUGCUGACUGUGGAUGGCCAGCAGUGGCAACCAGACUCAUGAGGGGAGGCAUCCUCUAGAUGAGCCCGGCCACCAUCAGACUGCAGCCACAGGAGACCCCAGUCACCCCGGAACCAGGAGAGACGAGAAUAAAUGGUGGGUGGUGUUUUGAGCUGCCCGUCAGGGCUGGUUCAUUACGCAGCCAGAGUGAAUGGUACAUGUGUGCAUUCCUGAUCAUUUUCUAAAGAACUUCUGGGGACGGUAAGGAUCUCUGCUGUUCACCACUCACUUCUUCUGCUGGUGCAGUGACUCACCUGGGAUCAGUGUCUGAGGGGAAUAGACAAGAACGGUCAUGUUUCUCAGAUUCCCAAGUCUCCAGCUGGCCUUCAGUUUGGUGACCUAGAGGUGGCCUGAGGUUGCCUGCUGUUCUGACCUCAGCAGGCUGGGGAGCGAGGGCCUGUUCUGGAUCUGACUGCAGAGGGUCAUGGGUGGUGGAGGGAGAGGGCAGCUGCCUUUCUCCAUCCAGAUGAGAUCAUAGUGGUGGGGAGGCACCCUCCACACCAUCCCCCUGCUCUGGGCUCCUGGGGGUGGCUCUGCACACCUAGCCUUUUGAGGUGACCUCCACCCUCUGGUCUCUGCCUGGGGAAGGAGCCGGCUGGAGGGUUCCAGGGCUUUGGGCCUGUGGAGGGUGGGUCCUCCUGUGCCCAGGCAAGGGUCUUCUCUCCCAUCACCUCUUCUUAGUGGGACCACCAGCCAUUCGUCGGGCGUCUUCUUGGAGGCAGGGCUGGGCUCAGUGUGCUACCAGGAAUGGCUCCCCAUUUUCUUCACUGUCUCGAGGCAAAGUGUGAAAAUGCACAGGAGAGAACUUGGAAAAUCUUGUAAAGGUGUUGCUGAAGGUGGAAGGUGCUAUUAAGGGAUUAGGAGGCAGUUACUGGUGGGGCAGGAGCAGCGCACCUGUGCGGCUGUUGUAUCGUCUCCAAAAACCUAAAGUUAGAGUCAUAAACUCUAAGUUAGAGUCAUAAACUCUCUACACUCAGGGCCUCUAAAAAAAUCACAGCCCAGAUAGUGCUUGAGUUCCCCCUGCAGCUUCUCUGGAAAGUAGUCAUCCAUCAUCUCCUUGGAUGGCCUCAGUGAUGGGAGGCUCACUCCCACUUCCUUGCAGAGGCCUUUUAUUCUCCUGGGCACUGGGAUCAUUGUAGUUGUCAUCCUUGUGCUGAACCAAAGUAGCCUUGCUUCUAGUCAUUCUAAGUUCUCUAGAAUAAAUCGCAUGCCUCUUCCACAUGCCAUGCCUUCAAAGUCAGCUCCAGGUCUUGCUUGUUGGGGUUUCUCCCUCUUUAGUUUUGCGGCUCGCCUCCCCCCAGCCCGUAUAUGGCAUGGUUUGGAGACCCCUGUCACCAGCCUGGUUCCCUUCCCAGCCAAAGGUUAAUCUCCUCUUCAGUUCUUAAAAAUCAGUCUCCUGUUACUGUGGCUGAACGGGUCGUGACGUUGGACCUGAUUCCAGCUGUUAGACGUGAUGAUUUCAGAUACACACCCAAUAUUCCUGAGCUAGGAUUUAAAGCCGUAGGUUCUUCCCAGGGACAAGGUGAAGGGACCACCGAGCAUUGUGGGGUGUCUUCUUGGAGGUAGGGUUGGGUCACAUGUUCUACCUGCGACGGCUCCUUCAUUUUCCUAAUGUGCCUGUGAGUCCGCCUUCCUUGGGCACCUGGGGGUGGGUGGCGGAGCUGCAGUUAAAACCCCGCCUUGCCCAGCGCCUCCUCCCAGCAGCCUGCUCCUCCCUAAGCUGAACUGCGGGCAGGAACGUCACAUUGACUCACGGUUUCCACAAGCCCCGGUCCUUGCCUGCAGGUGCUGAACCUUGUGCAGACAGGCAGCAGGGCUGUUUUGUUCACUGUCCUUCCCCCAGGGUCUUGAUGAUGCCCAGAAUGUCUCCAGUAUUUGUUGAUGUUAAAUCUUUGUCGAACACACGAUCGUGUGAAUGAAUGAAUCCUUGUAACUUCUCCGUGACACUUUUUUUUUUUCCAUUUUAUUUUGAAACAACAGCAGUUGUAAAACUAUAAGGGAAACUGUAACAGAUUCCAGCAUAGUCCGUCUGGGAAUUAAUAAGUAUUAACAUUUUUUUAUUUGCUUCUGGUCUCUUCCAUUUAUAAGGAAGACAAGGUUACAGAUCAACUUGAUUUUUUUUGUUUUAAAUGAUUUUUAGUUUUUCCAUUAUAGCUGGUUUCCAGUGUUCUGUCAGUUUUCUGCUCUACAGUGAGGUGAUCCAGUCACACAUAUAGGUAUACAUUCUUUUUCUCACAUUAUUCUCCAUCAUGUUCCAUCACAAGUGACUAGAUAGAGUUCCCAGUGCUAUACAGCAGGAUCUCAUUGCUCAUCCAUUCCAAAGGCAAUAGUUUGCAUCUGUUAACCCCAAACACCCAGUCCAUCCCCCUCCUUCCCCUUCCUCCUUGGCAACCACAAGUCUGUUCAAGUCCAUGAGAUUCUUUUCUGUGCCAUAAUUAGAUUCCAGAUGUAAGUGAUAUCAUAUGGUAUUUGUCUUUCUCUUUCUGACUUAUUUCACUUAGUAUGAGAGUCUCUAGUUCCAUCCAUGUUGCUGCAAAUGGCAUUAUUUUUUCUUUUUAUGGCUGAGUAGUAUUCCAUUGUGUAUAUAUACACCACAUCUUCUUAAUCCAUUCAUCUGUCAAUGGACAUUUAGAUUGUUUCCAUGUCUUGGCUUUUGUGAAUAGUGCUGCUGUGAACAUGCAGGUACAUGUGUCUAUUUCAAGGAGAGUUUUAUCCAGACAUAUGCCCAAGAGUGGGAUUGCUGGGUCAUAUGGUAGUUCUAUGUAUAGUUUUCUGAGGUACCUCCAUACUGUUUUCCAUAGUGGUUGUACCAAUUUGUGCUUGAUUUUUAAAAAUUUUAUCUUAUUUUUUUAGGGCACACCUGCAGCAUAUGGAAGUUCCCCAGGCUAGGGGUUGAAUCAGAGCUGCAGCUGCCAGCCUGUGUAGCUUGCUUCAUGUAUUGGCAUGCAUAAGCAAUAAAUAGCAUUGUUUAGUGUGCUUUCAAAUUUACAUAUGUUAUUGUACUGGACUAAUUUUUUUUUUUUUUUUGUCUUUAUAGGGCCACACCUGCCGCAUAUGGAGGUUCCCAGGCUAGGGGUUUAAUCAGCCUAUGCCAGAGCCACAGCAACACGGGAUCUGAGCCGUGUCUGUGACCUACACCACAGCCCACGGCAACACUGGAUCCUUAACCCACUGUGCAAGGCCAGGGAUCGAACCCACAACCCCAUGGUUCCUAGUUGGAUUUGUUUCUGCUGCUCCACAACAGGAACUCCUUACUAGCCAAAUAUUAUGCAGUAUUUUUCUCCACUCAUGAAUUUUUUGGAUCUGUGUACAUGUGCUAGUUCAUUCAUUUGAAGUGCUGUCUUGUCUUCCAUCAGCUGACUCUCACCCUUGCCAUUUAUUUUUCCACUCCCCAGUAACACAUAUAAUACAAGUGCAUUGUCUUCAGUUCCCCGCUCUGGGUAAUUAAUAGUCUCCUUACCUAAGUGUUCAGACAAGGAACCUUAGAGCCCGCUGUUAAAUGACCCAGCUAAGGUGUCACAGUUUUCACAGGCAGUGGAACCAGAGAAUGAGCCAAAACGGACCAUAUCUUCCCUCCCAGGCAAUCGUCUUUCUCACUGCUCCACAGUUAUCUCCUUUCAGGAAAAGGAGAUGAUAAAUUUGCAGGAAGUGUUAGAGAGUUUUAUCUUUAAAAAGCUCCAGGGAGAAAACGAUCUUGUUUUGAGAGCAGUGUGAAGGUUUGAUGCCAGAUGGGGUCUCCCCAUGUGUUUCGAGGGCAGAGAACAGACCCGUGUGUGGCGGGAGGGUCACCCCCGACUUGGGGUCUUGUCUGUUGCCUUCCUGGGUGGCUUCCUGGGCAGAGACAGUGAGUGUGACAACCACCUUGAAGCUGGCCUUCUUUUCACAAGGGCAGCCAGACACUCAGGGGACUUUAUCUCCCAGCAUAGAGAGUUCCUGGGGGAACGGGACCACUUCUGUCCUUGGGGGGGAGGGGUGUCCGCGGGGGGUGGUCCCCGCAUCCUUUUUUUCCCAUUUCCACUGAAUAUAGUGUCACUGGAGAGCAGGAUUUGAAACCAGUUAACCUCAAAAGAGGCCAGUCAUAUCUGUCCCCAUUUCUCUUUGAAAAAUGAUGAAUGCUAAACAGUCCUCGAGGUUUACAGAUCUACCAAAAGACGGUCAAGGUUCUGAAACAAUGAGGACAUUCUUUUCCACGCUGAGGAUGGCACCAGGGCCUUGACGCCACCUGGCUCGGUCACUGGCUUCGGAGAGGGCCUGGGGCUGUUUUCGCAACUUCCCAGAGUUUCAGUUUCCUUGUCUUUCAAAGCAGAUGCUGUUGACAGUCACUUGUACCAUCAGACCAAGACUGACCAAUUGUGAGCCUCAGGGCACCCCCCCUCGCAGGAGCCCUUCCAGGACCUCCUAUCUCAUUUUUAUUCGUAAUUUGAUAGGCGUUUUUAUAAAGUGCAUCCCCCAAGUUGUGUAAGCUGUGGCCCCACAAGCCAUGGGUGGGCCUCCUGGCUCAUAAGGUGGUUGUAAAGAUACCUGUUGCAUAGUUAGCGCGUGGUACUUGUGAGCUCAUUAGGAUGAUUAUUUAAUGAAUAGCAUGUGCCUUGAGUGUCACCCCAUGCCUGGAACCGCAUGGGGGCUCAAUUAGUGGCAGCCUCGGUUCUUCUGUUCUCAAGUUGUGCGGUGUUCCGGUUUCCCAGAGUCUCCAUCUUCAAGGAAAAUGUGAGAAGGACCCAAGAUACCUGCCCCUUUCUCCCGCUGCUACCAUAAAUUCUGUGUAUAAUAGAUGAAAAUCCUUUAAUUCCUUAAGAGUUUCCUGCCUCUUCUGUCUUUUCUCCAUCAUCUGGCUCACCUGGUCCAGUCGACCCUGUGCUCCAGGGGAGGCCAGCAGUCAGCCAGGUGGGGACACCACGAGGCUGCAUGUCAUCUUCUCCUGUGCUUUCUUCUCAUCCCAAAAGAUUGUGAAGGAGUUCCCUGGUGGUGUAUACCAGGUUAAGGAUCCAGCAUUGUCAUUGG
This 7247-nucleotide long non-coding RNA is filed under the name Sus scrofa (pig). Its description in RNAcentral is "lncRNA (ENSSSCG00065042585.1)". Lineage: Eukaryota; Metazoa; Chordata; Mammalia; Artiodactyla; Suidae. The record is from RNAcentral.